CUCGCCCUUGCCCGGCCCGGCCCGUGCCCGCCGCCGCCGCCAUGUUGUGCGCCCGCCGCCUCCUGCGCCUCGCCGCGCUGCCGCCGCCCCGGGCCCGCUCCUACGCCGAGCCCGCGGCCGGGCCGGCCGCCAUGGCCUUCACCUUCGCCUCCCCCACGCAGGUGUUCUACAACGGCGCCGCCGUGAAGCAGGUGGACGUGCCCACCCUCACCGGCUCCUUCGGCAUCCUGGCGGCCCACGUCCCCACGCUGCAGGUCCUCAAGCCCGGCGUGGUGACGGUGUACGGCGAGGACGGGGCGGCCACCAAGUACUUCGUGAGCAGCGGCUCCGUCACGGUCAACGCGGACUCCACCGUGCAGGUGCUGGCAGAGGAGGCGGUGACGAUGGACAUGCUGGACCUGGCCACUGCAAAAUCAAACCUGGAGAAGGCCAUUUCAGAGGUGGCUGCCGCGUCCGAUGAAGCUGCUAAAGCAGAAGCUCAGAUUAAAGUAGAAGCCAACGAAGCCCUUGUAAAAGCCCUGGAGUAAUCUGUUGGAAGGCUUUCUGCGCGGCAGCGUGCGCGCUGUGCCUGGCAGGUGAGUCACGGAGCCUCAGACGGCCUCUCUCCGGAGCAGCCAUUUAGCAACGCGAGCGAGGCCUCGGAUCGGGAUCCUGCUCCGCCGAGCCCACCCCACGUUAAAACCAGCUCCGCCUCUGUGUGUUGCAGGAAUCCCACUGUCGCUGCA
RNA transcript from Cygnus olor (mute swan), 725 nucleotides. It is a transcript of the gene named ATP synthase F1 subunit delta, with no coding region annotated. The record is from RefSeq and is a predicted model, not a curated record. The transcript has 6 exons. Lineage: Eukaryota; Metazoa; Chordata; Aves; Anseriformes; Anatidae.